RNAcentral lists this transfer RNA (68 nucleotides) under Anisopteromalus calandrae. RNAcentral describes it as "tRNA-Arg". Lineage: Eukaryota; Metazoa; Arthropoda; Insecta; Hymenoptera; Pteromalidae. The record is from RNAcentral.
AAAAAAGAAUCUAAUAAAAUAGAUAUUAAUUUCGGCUUAAUAGUAAGAUAUUAAUUUAUCCUUUUUUA